RNAcentral lists this ribosomal RNA (477 nucleotides) under uncultured bacterium. RNAcentral describes it as "bacterial SSU rRNA". It matches the Rfam family "Bacterial small subunit ribosomal RNA", at positions 28 to 507 of the family's 1533-position model. The record is from RNAcentral.
GAUGAACGCUGGCGGCGUGCUUAACACAUGCAAGUCGAGCGAGAAUUAAGAGUUGGAGACUUCGGUCAAAGACUUUAAGGAAAGCGGCGGACGGGUGAGUAACGCGUGGGUAACCUGCCUUAUACAGGGGGAUAACAUAUUGAAAAGUAUGCUAAUACCGCAUAAGCGCACGGCAUCGCAUGAUGCAGUGUGAAAAACUCAGGUGGUAUAAGAUGGACCCGCGUCUGAUUAGCUAGUAGGUGAGGUAAUGGCUCACCUAGGCGACGAUCAGUAGCCGGCCUGAGAGGGCGAACGGCCACAUUGGGACUGAGACACGGCCCAAACUCCUACGGGAGGCAGCAGUGGGGAAUAUUGCACAAUGGGGGAAACCCUGAUGCAGCGACGCCGCGUGAAGGAUGAAGGUUUUCGGAUCGUAAACUUCUAUCAGCAGGGACGAUAAUGACGGUACCUGACUAAGAAGCCCCGGCUAACUACGUG